GUCGCUCUCGCGGGAGAGAUCGGCCCAUCGCUACGGGCCGGAGCCGAAGGCGCAACCGCCCCGGAAACGCUCAGGCAAAAGGACCGCGAGGACGUU
Molecule: non-coding RNA, 96 nt
Filed under: Brevundimonas sp. AAP58
Lineage: Bacteria; Pseudomonadati; Pseudomonadota; Alphaproteobacteria; Caulobacterales; Caulobacteraceae
Also listed under: 1 other name
Description: Glycine riboswitch aptamer
Rfam family: Glycine riboswitch aptamer
About the family: This family represents the bacterial glycine riboswitch. Glycine riboswitches usually consist of two metabolite-binding aptamers domains with similar structures in tandem.
Source: Rfam by way of RNAcentral